This 331-nucleotide ribosomal RNA is filed under the name uncultured Glomeromycotina. RNAcentral describes it as "eukaryotic LSU rRNA". Lineage: Eukaryota; Fungi; Glomeromycota. The record is from RNAcentral.
CAGUCGUACCGACGGAAAAUCAGCUCUUUGAGUGCGGACUUGUGGGCUUACGUGAGUUUUAACACCUCGCUGUUUGCAACGUUCGUGUUUUUUGGGUGUACUUUUUCGUAUGGUUGGCCAAUAUCAGUUUUGAUCGCUAUAAAAUGACCGGCGGAAUGUAGCUUCGAUCUCGAUUGAAGUGUUAUAGCCUCUGGUAGAUGUGGUGAUUGGGACUGAGGAUUGCAACGAAUACCUUUUGGGCUAUCCGUCUGAUCUCUGAAGGUUGCUUAGGUGCCGAAAGCGUGCUUACGGUUAUUUAAGUUGACAGUCAAAAGGUUAGAACGUGAUUAUA